UGGGGAAUAUUGGACAAUGGGCGAAAGCCUGAUCCAGCAAUACCGCGUGUGUGAAGAAGGCCUGAGGGUUGUAAAGCACUUUCGUUUGGGAGGAAGAGAUUCGUUUUAAUAGAGCGAAUUGAAGACGUUACCAAAAUAAGAAGCACCGGCUAACUCUGUGCCAGCAGCCGCGGUAAUACAGAGGGUGCGAGCGUUAAUCGGAAUUACUGGGCGUAAAGGGUGCGUAGGUUGUUCUGUAAGUCAGAUGUGAAAACCCGGGGCUUAACUCCGGAAGGUCGUUUGAUACUGCAGAGCUAGAGUUUUGAAGGGGACAGUGGAAUUUCCGGUGUAGCGGUGAAAUGCGUAGAUAUCGGAAGGAACACCAGAGGCGAAGGCGACUGUCUGGUCAAAAACUGACACU
Molecule: ribosomal RNA, 400 nt
Filed under: uncultured bacterium
Lineage: Bacteria
Description: bacterial SSU rRNA
Rfam family: Bacterial small subunit ribosomal RNA
Source: RNAcentral